AAAAGAUUAGUUAACUAAAUAACAUCAGAAUGUCAAACUGAAGUAAUCAUAAAGAUAUCUUUUU
Molecule: transfer RNA, 64 nt
Filed under: Labritermes buttelreepeni
Lineage: Eukaryota; Metazoa; Arthropoda; Insecta; Blattodea; Termitidae
Description: tRNA-Asp
Source: RNAcentral